RNAcentral lists this long non-coding RNA (1192 nucleotides) under Homo sapiens (human). RNAcentral's name for it is "novel transcript". The record is from RNAcentral. Lineage: Eukaryota; Metazoa; Chordata; Mammalia; Primates; Hominidae.
UUUUUUUUUUUUUUUUCCGAACGCCCGCAGCAGGGUCAGAAGGGAGGUGGUCGCCCUCCGUCGUGGUCUGGCGUGUAUUCCGAGCCUUGGUGUCUGGCGGUUUCCAAGCGUUGGUGUCUGGCGGUUUCCGACCGUUGGUGUCUGGCGGUUUCCGACCGUUGGUGUCUGGCACGCGCCACCCUCUCUUGCUUUGGUUGCGCCAUGCCGAUGUACCAGACAAGAAGACAAGAAAAUGAUUUGAGGACAGCUUCAAUCGCGGUGUGAAGAAGAAAGCAGCAAAACGACCACUGAAAACAACGCCGGUGGCAAAAUAUCCAAAGAAAGGGUCCCAAGCGGUACAUCGUCAUAGCCGGAAACAGUCAGAGCCACCAGCCAAUGAUCUUUUCAAUGCUGCGAAAGCUGCCAAAAGUGACAUGCAGGGAUGUCCUUCCUGAGAUCCGUGCUAUCUGCAUUGAGGAAAUUGGGUGUUGGAUGCAAAGCUACAGCACGUCUUUCCUCACCGACAGCUAUUUAAAAUAUAUUGGUUGGACUCUGCAUGAUAAGCACCGAGAAGUCCGCGUGAAGUGCGUGAAGGCUCUGAAAGGGCUGUACGGUAACCGGGACCUGACCGCACGCCUGGAGCUCUUCACUGGCCGCUUCAAGGACUGGAUGGUUUCCAUGAUCAUGGACAGAGAGUACAGUGUGGCAGUGGAGGCCGUCAGAUUACUGAUACUUAUCCUUAAAAUCGGCUCCCAGACACCUGCCACUCGUGAAUGCAUCUGAUAAACUCACUCACACUGAGGCCUUGGGGACUGAGAGUGCGAUGACAUGGAUCCUGCGGACAAACCGCCCCAGGGCGUACCUAGCACCGAAGCAUCAGGCGCCACUAGGUCUCCAGCUCCUUCUCGGAUGACGUCCUUCAGCACGCCCCGGUCCCCCGAGAUGUCCAGCAUCCUCUGACUUAACCGCUCGUACAGGGACUGAUGGAGAAUGAAAGCCAGGCCUCAGAGCCGCAGACCCACCCGGCCACCCCUCAGCGUCUACGCCCCCGAAACGUCUGGGCCCUCACCUGGCCGGGGGCGUCGUCCCCUUCCAGGACUCCCUGGUUUAACGCGCUUCCCCCCAUGUCCUAGCUGCCCUCCCUGUGGCGUGAGCCUUCGGCCUGGUGCGCCCCGCUGCCCUUCCUGGCUGUGACUCUGGUGGGGUUCCGAAG